Molecule: non-coding RNA, 148 nt
Filed under: Gorilla gorilla gorilla (western lowland gorilla)
Lineage: Eukaryota; Metazoa; Chordata; Mammalia; Primates; Hominidae
Source: Rfam by way of RNAcentral
GCCAGGCAUGGUGGCACAUGCCUGCAGUCCCAGCUACUAGGGAGGUUGAGGCAGGAGGAUCACUUGAGCCCAGGAGGUCAAGGCUGCAGUGAUCCCUGAUUGUGCCACUGCACUCCAGCCUGGGUGACAGAGUGAGACCCUGUCUCAC